This 500-nucleotide ribosomal RNA is filed under the name uncultured bacterium. RNAcentral describes it as "bacterial SSU rRNA". It matches the Rfam family "Bacterial small subunit ribosomal RNA", at positions 36 to 524 of the family's 1533-position model. The record is from RNAcentral.
AUAACCUGGCGGCAUGCUUUCACAUGCAAGUCGAACGGCAGCACGGGUGCUUGCACCUGGUGGCGAGUGGCGAACGGGUGAGUAAUGCAUUGGAACGUACCGAGUAGUGGGGGAUAACUGUCCGAAAGGAUAGCUAAUACCGCAUAAGACCUGAGGGUGAAAGCGGGGGACUCUUUGAGCCUCGCGCUAUUUGAGCGGCCAAUGUCUGAUUAGGUAGUUGGUGGGGUAAAGGCCUACCAAGCCGACGAUCAGUAGCGGGUCUGAGAGGAUGAUCCGCCACACUGGGACUGAGACACGGCCCAGACUCCUACGGGAGGCAGCAGUGGGGAAUUUUGGACAAUGGGGGGAACCCUGAUCCAGCCAUGCCGCGUGUCUGAAGAAGGCCUUCGGGUUGUAAAGGACUUUUGUCGGGGAAGAAAAGCGGAUUGAUAAUACCAGUUCGUGAUGACGGUACCCGAAGAAUAAGCACCGGCUAACUACGUGCCAGCAGCCGCGGUAAU